AUUGAACGCUGGCGGCAUGCUUUACACAUGCAAGUCGAACGGUAACAGGCCUUCGGGUGCUGACGAGUGGCGAACGGGUGAGUAAUGCAUCGGAACGUGCCCAAUCGUGGGGGAUAACGUAGCGAAAGUUACGCUAAUACCGCAUAAGCCCUGAGGGGGAAAGUGGGGGACCGCAAGGCCUCACGCGAAUGGAGCGGCCGAUGUCAGAUUAGCUAGUUGGUGGGGUAAAGGCUCACCAAGGCGACGAUCUGUAGCGGGUCUGAGAGGACGAUCAGUCACACUGGAACUGAGACACGGUCCAGACUCCUACGGGAGGCAGCAGUGAGGAAUUUUGGACAAUGGGGGAAACCCUGAUCCAGCGACGCCGCGUGUGGGAUGAAUGGGUUAUGCCCUGUAAACCACUGUCAGCAGAGAAGAAAAGGUUCCUUUGGAACCCGGGACUGUAUCUGCAGAGGAAGGACCGGCUAACUACGUG
RNAcentral lists this ribosomal RNA (475 nucleotides) under uncultured bacterium. RNAcentral's name for it is "bacterial SSU rRNA". It matches the Rfam family "Bacterial small subunit ribosomal RNA", at positions 29 to 507 of the family's 1533-position model. The record is from RNAcentral.